CUGAUCGCACCCCCAUCAACUCCGAACGAAAACCCAGCUGUAAAUUCUCCAAUUUCUCGUCAAUGGCUUCCAACGGAAGGUCUUUCUUAGGCGCCAUGGAACGUAGAGGCUCUGAUACCACUAUGAUAGGGACCAACCUGUAAAUUCAGCAAACAAACUAACACAGACAACAGAAUGAAUAAACUCAGCUUUGCAUUAAUGGAAUUUCCUGGAGUUCGAGAGCCAAGGUCUCUCCUCAGUCCAAACAGACUACAAUAUCAGCAUAAGAAAAUACAUUUAGUUACUACCCCUUUAUUUACUACUCAAGCUUACCCCAAACCCGUGCACCCUCACACAGAGGAAAAACACUCCUCUAACUAACAUUCUAGCCACUUACUGAGCUGGCAGCCCCUUUUCCCUUCCUUGUAUACACGUAUGUGAUUGGAGGCCUAUCAUUCCCCUUGAUCUGCGAGACAGACCUUCCAUCUAGUUCUGCCUGACUUUCCAUCUAGUCAACAAAUCUAGACUUAGGAACCUAAACUUUCACUAUUUCUCAGUUCUCAGACGAGACACUAUUAUGUACUUGAGUCAAUUGGUAUGCCAGAAUGCAAGCUUGGCCUUAACGAUCGAGUGUUGCUAGAGGCACAAGGCAGAGCAACAAAGGGAAAAGCUAUUAAUUUGGAAGACAUCAAAUUUCAUCAGUAAGUUGCUUUAACUUGUUGGUCUAAUUUAAUUCUAGUGUUGUCGAUGCAAGUGUUUUGGAUUCUAAAAUCGCUAUUUUAAGGAGAGAAGUAUCUUCACUUCUCUCCUUACAUCCUCUAUGGCAAUUGUUGUUGUCAUCUGCAAAAUCAUCUCUCAUGAGAACAGAACAAAGCACUUUGAUGGAUUUAAGGUCCAUUGACAAAUAAAAAGUUAACUAAUAUAUUACUAAUUUUACUUUAACUC
Long non-coding RNA from Humulus lupulus (European hop), 924 nucleotides. RefSeq lists it as uncharacterized. The record is from RefSeq and is a predicted model, not a curated record. Lineage: Eukaryota; Viridiplantae; Streptophyta; Magnoliopsida; Rosales; Cannabaceae. The transcript is spliced from 2 exons.